UGGGGAAUAUUGGACAAUGGGCGCAAGCCUGAUCCAGCCAUGCCGCGUGAGUGACGAAGGCCUUAGGGUUGUAAAGCUCUUUCGGCGGGGAAGAUAAUGACGGUACCCGCAGAAGAAGCCCCGGCUAACUCUGUGCCAGCAGCCGCGGUAAUACAGAGGGGGCAAGCGUUGUUCGGAAUCACUGGGCGUAAAGCGCACGUAGGUGGAUAGUUAAGUUCGGGGUGAAAUCCCAGGGCUCAACCCUGGAACUGCCUCGGAUACUGGCUAUCUCGAGUCCGGAAGAGGUGAGUGGAAUUCCUAGUGUAGAGGUGAAAUUCGUAGAUAUUAGGAAGAACACCGGUGGCGAAGGCGGCUCACUGGUCCGGUACUGACACUGAGGUGCGAAAGCGUGGGGAGCAAACAGGAUUAGAUACCCCGUAGUCCCUGAGCGGGCUGGCAAGGCGCAU
This 446-nucleotide ribosomal RNA is filed under the name uncultured bacterium. RNAcentral describes it as "bacterial SSU rRNA". It matches the Rfam family "Bacterial small subunit ribosomal RNA", at positions 355 to 825 of the family's 1533-position model. The record is from RNAcentral.